UACGAGAGGCCCAAACGUUAUUCGGAAUUACUGGGCUUAAAGAGUUCGUAGGCGGCAUGAAAAGUAGGGUGUGAAAGCCCUCGGCUCAACCGAGGAAUUGCGCUCUAAACUGUCGUGCUCUAGGAAUCUAGAGGUGAGCGGAACUGAUGGUGGAGCGGUGAAAUGCGUUGAUAUCAUCAGGAACACCGGAGGCGAAGGCGGCUCACUGGGGAUUUUCUGACGCUGAGGAACGAAGGCCAGGGGAGCAAACGGG
This 253-nucleotide ribosomal RNA is filed under the name uncultured bacterium. RNAcentral describes it as "partial 16S ribosomal RNA". It matches the Rfam family "Bacterial small subunit ribosomal RNA", at positions 524 to 776 of the family's 1533-position model. The record is from RNAcentral.